RNAcentral lists this transfer RNA (72 nucleotides) under Camelus bactrianus (Bactrian camel). It matches the Rfam family "tRNA". From Rfam's summary of the family: Transfer RNA (tRNA) molecules are approximately 80 nucleotides in length. Lineage: Eukaryota; Metazoa; Chordata; Mammalia; Artiodactyla; Camelidae. RNAcentral also lists the same sequence under 2 other names. The record is from Rfam by way of RNAcentral.
GGGGUAAUAGCUCAGUGGUGGAGCACAUGCUUAGCAUGCACAAAGUCCUGGGUUCUAUUCCCAGGACUUCCA